UCAGAACUCCGCAGUUAAGCGUGC
This 24-nucleotide non-coding RNA is filed under the name Arabidopsis thaliana (thale cress). Lineage: Eukaryota; Viridiplantae; Streptophyta; Magnoliopsida; Brassicales; Brassicaceae. RNAcentral also lists the same sequence under 2 other names. The record is from RNAcentral.